GACGAACGCUGGCGGCGUGCUUAACACAUGCAAGUCGAACGGAAAGGCCCUGCUUUUGUGGGGUGCUCGAGUGGCGAACGGGUGAGUAACACGUGAGUAACCUGCCCUUGACUUUGGGAUAACUUCAGGAAACUGGGGCUAAUACCGGAUAGGAGCUCCUGCUGCAUGGUGUGGGUUGGAAAGUUUCGGCGGUUGGGUAUGGACUCGCGGCUUAUCAGCUUGUUGGUGGGGUAGUGGCUUACCAAGGCUUUGACGGGUAGCCGGCCUGAGAGGGUGACCGGCCAAAUUGGGACUGAGAUACGGCCCAGACUCCUACGGGAGGCAGCAGUGGGGAAUAGUGCACAAUGGGCGGAAGCCUGAUGCAGCAACGCCGCGUGCGGGAUGACGGCCUUCGGGUUGUAAACCGCUUUCGCCUGUGACGAAGCGUGAGUGACGGUAAUGGGUAAAGAAGCACCGGCUAACUACGUG
RNAcentral lists this ribosomal RNA (468 nucleotides) under uncultured bacterium. Its description in RNAcentral is "partial 16S ribosomal RNA". It matches the Rfam family "Bacterial small subunit ribosomal RNA", at positions 28 to 507 of the family's 1533-position model. The record is from RNAcentral.